CCUACGUGUGGCAGCAGUGAGGAAUAUUGGUCAAUGGUCGGGAGACUGAACCAGCCAAGCCGCGUGAGGGAGGAAGGUACAGAGUAUCGUAAACCUCUUUUGUCAGGGAACAAAGACUGGGACGCGUCCCCGGAUGAGUGUACCUGAAGAAAAAGCAUCGGCUAACUCCGUGCCAGCAGCCGCGGUAAUACGGAGGAUCCGAGCGUUAUCCGGAUUCAUUGGGUUUAAAGGGUGCGUAGGUUGUUUUAUAAGUUAGCGGUGAAAUACCGAUGCUCAACAUCGGGGCUGCCGCUGAUACUGUAGGACUAGAGAUCGGAUGCAGCAGGCGGAAUGUGUAGUGUAGCGGUGAAAUGCAUAGAUAUUACACAGAACACCGAUUGCGAAGGCAGCUUGCUAGGCCGGAUCUGACACUGAUGCACGAAAGCGUGGGGAUCGAACAGGAUUAGAUACCCUAGUAGUC
This 460-nucleotide ribosomal RNA is filed under the name uncultured bacterium. RNAcentral describes it as "partial 16S ribosomal RNA". It matches the Rfam family "Bacterial small subunit ribosomal RNA", at positions 338 to 795 of the family's 1533-position model. The record is from RNAcentral.